GUAUAUGACCAUACUACCCUGAACACACCCGAUCUGGUCUGAUCUCUGAAGCUAAGUAGGGGCAGGUCUGGUUAGUACUUGGAUGGGAAAAUGGAUUAAAAAAAAAAAAAUUAGACCCACCUAUAUG
Ribosomal RNA from Mustela putorius furo (domestic ferret), 127 nucleotides. NCBI's taxonomy places the organism in Eukaryota, Metazoa, Chordata, Mammalia, Carnivora, Mustelidae. The record is from Ensembl.